GAUCUGUUUAUUUCCACUUUACGUAAACUUGUAAAGAGAACUAUUAUUUCGUGCUCUCUCUCGCCAGGACGCUGCUGAGGACACGAGGAGUCGCCGACCCCAAGAAAAUCCAUGAUUUAGCGCGAAGACAAGCAGUCGGGGAGAGAAGGUGAGGGCGGGCCGUACCGCGGCCUCGAGGCCCCGCCUCCCGGGACCCCACCGCCCAGGCUCCGCCUCCUCGGGCCCCGCCCCGGCCCGCCGCCAUGUUGUUCCCUUGGCGCUGGACGUGAGCAGCCGGAGUUGCACCCGGGCAGCGCUACGGUCUCCUGGCCGCCUACCCCCGACCUUCUCUCCUCGUUGCACCCGGACGGGCCAGUCGGGAGCUCCCCGGGCGUCCUCUGUGUGGCCACGAAACCAGUGUGUGCUCUAUACAGCAUGUGUUGGUGCCAGCCGAUGGAUUGUCAUCCUGAGAUAAUGAUGCUGCUUGAACUGAACAAUUAAGGUAACAUUUGUGACUUAAGUAAUAAUGCUUUUCUUAUUCAGAAAUCUUUAUCAAAUUUAGCUGAAUUGUUAAAGUCAUGUUUUAACCUUGGUGAGGAUUUUCAUUAUUGCCCGUGGGCAAUCAUUCCGAACUGUGGGGUAUAAAAGAUUUCACAUUAUAUUUUAAGGUAAGUUUUGAAAAUAACGGGAUACCUUUAUUCAUUCAUCUUAUACUGAAGUUUGAAAGGAUUUUACUGUUUUUAGAAAAGAAAAAGGGAGUAUUUUUAAUGUCUCUAAGCCAGUUAUGGUUAUGUUCAUGUAUAGAUUGCCUGAAGCUAGCUUGUGU
Molecule: long non-coding RNA, 805 nt
Filed under: Neogale vison (American mink)
Lineage: Eukaryota; Metazoa; Chordata; Mammalia; Carnivora; Mustelidae
Description: Neovison vison (American mink) lncRNA (ENSNVIG00000019819.1)
Source: RNAcentral